RNAcentral lists this long non-coding RNA (1071 nucleotides) under Ananas comosus (pineapple). RNAcentral describes it as "long non-coding RNA (ACOM_LNC003107)". The record is from RNAcentral. Lineage: Eukaryota; Viridiplantae; Streptophyta; Magnoliopsida; Poales; Bromeliaceae.
UCAGCUUGAAUCUUAUUCUCUAUCUUUUUACUCUCUGUUAUUAAUUUGUCACCUUGUGCUACCUUGAAAACUUGUGAUGGAGUAGCAAGUGGCUUCUUCCAUCGGAACUCGCCGUAUCAUUAAACAUGACUGCUGGUAGCCUCGCAAGUAGAGAGGCAAUCUUACUCUAUGACAGUGCAUCGCAUGCCUUGACUCACAUGCCAUAUUUAAACUUAUAUUUUUUGCUCGCUGUUUUAUAUAAACAGUUUAUUGCUUUGUAGAAUUUGUUCACCGCUUGGUACAGCACCGUUUAUUUUCUAACACAAUUUAUUCACUACUUACUCAGAUACAAUUUGUUCACUUCUUAAUAGGAGAUAAUUUACAGCUUAAUACGAGAUUCUUCACUGCUUGCUUGAAUUUAUUUAUUGUUCUUUAUAGCCUUCAAAAGCAUUUUAGAUCUUAACAUAUUUCUGAGAUUUCAUAACAUAUUUCUACCGAAAGAACGGAUUUUCUCGAACAAUACCAAACUCUACCGAAUGCGGCAGUGGAACGCGGACACUAGUGGUGAGGAGCACAGCCGCGCCGCCCAUGUAGAAGUAGAGAUGUCAACGGGUCGGAUUUGGGGCGGAUUUUUAAAAACCUGAACCCGAACCCGACUCCAAACCCGAGACCCGAACCCGAACCCGAACCCGACGGAUUUUAAAAAUCCAUAUCCAAACCCGAACCCAACCAAAAAUCCGAAACCCGAAACCGAACCUGAACCUGAAAAUUUGAAUCCGAAACAAUUAUUUCUUUUUUCAAUAUUUCAAAAUAUUAUAUUAUAUUAAACCUAAAUUUUUAAAAUACAAAUUCAAAUAUAACAUCAAAUUUUUAUAUAUAUAUUAUAUAUAAUACAAAAUAAAUUCGGGUUCGGGUCGGGUUCGGGUUCGGGUCGGGUACAAUCAAAAUCCAUAUCCGAAUCCAUAUCCGUCGGGUUUCUAUUUUUGAUAUCUAUAUCCGAAUCCAUAUCCAUAUCCACCGGAUAUAUCCGUUUCAUUCGGGUUCGGAUUCGGAUAAAAUUUCGGGUAUCCAUACCUAUUGACAACCCUAUGU